Molecule: long non-coding RNA, 386 nt
Filed under: Vitis vinifera (wine grape)
Lineage: Eukaryota; Viridiplantae; Streptophyta; Magnoliopsida; Vitales; Vitaceae
Description: long non-coding RNA (VVIN_LNC001563)
Source: RNAcentral
UGCAUAAUCUUCAUUUCCGCUUACUUCUCCAAUGGCCUCUCUAAUGGCUUCCCAAACCCUUCUCCUCAGAACUCCAAACCCCACCCUCCAUGCACCCCACUGCACACCACUCCCCUCUUUCCAUGUCUCCCUCCCCACCUUCUCUCCGCCCAAAUCCCACCGCCUGCGCCUCCGCUUUCGCCGCGCCGCAAAACUCGCCAUCUCCGCCUCCACCACCACUCCCACAACUCCCUUCACCGAUUCCACUCGCACCGUGUCCGCAAUUUUGGCUUCAGCUCUCGCAGUUUCCAAAGUAUUCAUCGCCAAAAUCCAAGAUAUUUUUCUCAAUUUGAAGCAAAUUGAUUUUACUCCUAACCCCGAAGAGCUCGCCGCAAUUCGUGACCUCC